GACGAGCCGUGCGAACGUUAUUCGGAAUUAUUGGGCGUAAAGCGCGCGUAGGCGGUUACUCAAGUCGGAUGUGAAAGCCCUCGGCUUAACUGAGGAAGUGCACCCGAAACUGAGUAGCUAGAGUACUAAAGAGGGUCGCGGAAUUCCCGGUGUAGAGGUGAAAUUCGUAGAUAUCGGGAGGAACACCUGCGGCGAAGGCGGGUUGCUGGGCUGACACUGACGCUGACAGCGCGAAAGCUAGGGGAGCGAACGGG
This 254-nucleotide ribosomal RNA is filed under the name uncultured bacterium. Its description in RNAcentral is "partial 16S ribosomal RNA". It matches the Rfam family "Bacterial small subunit ribosomal RNA", at positions 524 to 776 of the family's 1533-position model. The record is from RNAcentral.